Molecule: small nucleolar RNA, 95 nt
Filed under: Ectocarpus siliculosus
Lineage: Eukaryota; Phaeophyceae; Ectocarpales; Ectocarpaceae
Description: Small nucleolar RNA Z157/R69/R10
Rfam family: Small nucleolar RNA Z157/R69/R10
About the family: Z157, R69 and R10 are members of the C/D class of snoRNA which contain the C (UGAUGA) and D (CUGA) box motifs. Most of the members of the box C/D family function in directing site-specific 2'-O-methylation of substrate RNAs.
Source: Rfam by way of RNAcentral
CUGCUGGCGGUGACGAAAUGAAACGGACUAGAGUUUCUGAAACCAGCUUAUGCUGGGUUUGAAGAUACAACCCUUGGCUGUCCGAGCCUUUGCAG